GACGAACGCGGCGGCGUCCUUAACACAUGCAAGUCGAACGGGAACCUUUAUUUCGGUAAAGGUGAGAGUGGCAAACGGGUGAGUAACACGUAGGCAACCUGCCGACAGGAUGGGGACAACAUUCCGAAAGGAAUGCUAAUACCGAAUGGAGUCCGAGGAUGGCAUCAUCCUUGGAUAAAAGAUGGCCUCUGAAUAUGCUAUCGCCUGUCGAUGGGCCUGCGUCUGAUUAGCCAGUUGGUGGGGUAACGGCCCACCAAAGCGACGAUCAGUAGCCGGUCUGAGAGGAUGAACGGCCACAUUGGGACUGAGACACGGCCCAGACUCCUACGGGAGGCAGCAGUGGGGAAUCUUCCACAAUGGGCGAAAGCCUGAUGGAGCAACGCCGCGUGAGUGAAGAAGGUCUUCGGAUCGUAAAGCUCUGUUGCACGGGACGAAAACUGGGUUUGAAAACAUUGAAACCUGGGUGACGGACCGAAGCGAGAG
Molecule: ribosomal RNA, 483 nt
Filed under: Selenomonas sputigena
Lineage: Bacteria; Bacillati; Bacillota; Negativicutes; Selenomonadales; Selenomonadaceae
Description: bacterial SSU rRNA
Rfam family: Bacterial small subunit ribosomal RNA
Source: RNAcentral